GACAGAGGGUGCAAACGUUGCUCGGAAUCACUGGGCGUAAAGGGCGUGUAGGCGGGAAGGCUAGUCAGAUGUGAAAGCCCUGGGCUCAACCCAGGAAGUGCACUCGAAACUCCCGAGCUGGAGUCCCGGAGAGGAAGGCGGAAUUCUCGGUGUAGAGGUGAAAUUCGUAGAUAUCGAGAGGAACAUCGGUGGCGAAGGCGGCCUUCUGGACGGUGACUGACGCUGAGGCGCGAAAGCGUGGGGAGCAAACAGG
Molecule: ribosomal RNA, 253 nt
Filed under: uncultured bacterium
Lineage: Bacteria
Description: partial 16S ribosomal RNA
Rfam family: Bacterial small subunit ribosomal RNA
Source: RNAcentral